CAGCCGCCACGGUAAAACGAAGGGUGCAAGCGUUAAUCGGAAUUACUGGGCGUAAAGCGUGCGUAGGCGGUGAGUUAAGUCUGCUGUGAAAUCCCCGGGCUCAACCUGGGAAUGGCAGUGGAUACUGGCUCGCUAGAGUGUGUCAGAGGAUGGUGGAAUUCCCGGUGUAGCGGUGAAAUGCGUAGAGAUCGGGAGGAACAUCAGUGGCGAAGGCGGCCAUCUGGGACAACACUGACGCUGAGGCACGAAAGCGUGGGGAGCAAACAGGAUUAGAUACCCCGGUAGUCCCUGUCUCUUAUAC
This 301-nucleotide ribosomal RNA is filed under the name uncultured bacterium. Its description in RNAcentral is "partial 16S ribosomal RNA". It matches the Rfam family "Bacterial small subunit ribosomal RNA", at positions 509 to 807 of the family's 1533-position model. The record is from RNAcentral.